GGAGGUCUCGUGCUAUUCCUAGAGAAGGAAGUUCCUUCGGGACACGGGAUACAGGUGGUGCAUGGUUGUCGUCAGCUCGUGUCGUGAGAUGUUGGGUUAAGUCCCGCAACGAGCGCAACCCCUAUUGUUAGUUGCCAUCAUUAAGUUGGGCACUCUAACGAGACUGCCGGUGAUAAACCGGAGGAAGGUGGGGAUGACGUCAAAUCAUCAUGCCCCUUAUGACCUGGGCUACACACGUGCUACAAUGGAUGGUACAACGAGUCGCGAGACAGUGAUGUUUAGCUAAUCUCUUAAAACCAUUCUCAGUUCGGAUUGUAGGCUGCAACUCGCCUACAUGAAGUCGGAAUCGCUAGUAAUCGCGGAUCAGCACGCCGCGGUGAAUACGUUCCCGGGUCUUGUACACACCGAAA
RNAcentral lists this ribosomal RNA (410 nucleotides) under uncultured bacterium. RNAcentral's name for it is "bacterial SSU rRNA". It matches the Rfam family "Bacterial small subunit ribosomal RNA", at positions 982 to 1395 of the family's 1533-position model. The record is from RNAcentral.